Molecule: ribosomal RNA, 807 nt
Filed under: uncultured bacterium
Lineage: Bacteria
Description: bacterial SSU rRNA
Rfam family: Bacterial small subunit ribosomal RNA
Source: RNAcentral
AGUCGAACGCCCGAGCAAUCGGGAGUGGCAGACGGGUGAGUAACACGUGGGAACAUACCCUUCGGUUCGGAACAACGUUUGGAAACGAACGCUAAUACCGGAUACGGCUUACGGGCGAAAGAUUCAUCGCCGAAGGAUUGGCCCGCGUUCGAUUAGCUAGGUGGCGGGGUAACGGCCCACCAUGGCGACGAUCGAUAGCUGGUCUGAGAGGAUGGCCAGCCACAUUGGGACUGAGACACGGCCCAAACUCCUACGGGAGGCAGCAGUGGGGAAUAUUGGACAAUGGGCGCAAGCCUGAUCCAGCCAUGCCGCGUGAGUGAUGACGGCCUUAGGGUUGUAAAGCUCUUUCGCACGCGACGAUAAUGACGGUAGCGUGAGAAGAAGCCCCGGCUAACUUCGUGCCAGCAGCCGCGGUAAUACGAAGGGGGCUAGCGUUGUUCGGAAUCACUGGGCGUAAAGGGUGCGUAGGCGGAUUCUUAAGUCAGGGGUGAAAUCCCGAGGCUCAACCUCGGAACUGCCUUUGAUACUGGGGAUCUUGAGUCCGGAAGAGGUGAGUGGAACUGCGAGUGUAGAGGUGAAAUUCGUAGAUAUUCGCAGGAACACCGGUGGCGAAGGCGGCUCACUGGUCCGGAACUGACGCUGAGGCACGACAGCGUGGGGAGCAAACAGGAUUAGAUACCCUGGUAGUCCACGCCGUAAACGAUGAAUGCCAGCCGUUGGGUGAUUUAUCACUGAGUGGCGCAGCUAACGCUUUGAGCAUUCCGCCUGGGGAGUACGGCCGCAAGGUUAAAACUCAAAUGAAUUGAC